GAUGAAGAACGCAGCGAAAUGCGAUACUUGGUGUGAAUUGCAGAAUCCCGUGAACCAUCGAGUCUUUGAACGCAAGUUGCGCCCGAAGCCAUCAGGUUGAGGGCACGUCUGCCUGGGCGUCACUUAUCGUUGCCCAAUGCCUAUUGCAGUGCAAUAGGAAUUUCUAGGGCGAAUGAUGGCUUCCCGUGAGCGUUGUUGCCUCGCGGUUGGUUGAAAAUCGAGUCCUUGGUAGGGUGUGCCAUGGUAGAUGGUGGUCGAGUUAGAACGAUACCGAUCAUGUGCAUGCUCCCCAAAAUAUGGCCUCUAUGACCCACACGCGUCUUUUGACGCUCAUGACGAGACCUCAGGUCAGGCGGGGCUACCCGCUGAAUUUAAGCAUAUCAAUAAGCGGAGGA
RNAcentral lists this unclassified non-coding RNA (395 nucleotides) under soil metagenome. RNAcentral describes it as "partial contains 5.8S ribosomal RNA, internal transcribed spacer 2, and large subunit ribosomal RNA". The stretch from base 1 to 122 matches the Rfam family "5.8S ribosomal RNA", at positions 35 to 154 of the family's 154-position model. The record is from RNAcentral.